AUGGAGAGGAAAUUGGGAGCUUUGCUGGGGGUUUUUUGGGUGCACAUUUGCUGGGUGCAAGGAGUUGAGGUGCAGCAGAGUCCUUCAGUUCUGAAACUCUACGAGGGAACCAGUUCUGAUCUGUCAUGCAAUUUUUCUACCACCAUCAUGAGUUUGCAGUGGUUACAGCAGAAUCCCAGGGGCAGCUUCAUCAAUCUUUUUUACCAGGCUCCAGGAACAAAGACAAAGGGGAGGUUAAAGUCUACAUUUGACUCCAAGGAGCGGUACAGCACCCUGCACAUCAGGGAUGCCCAGCUGGGGGACUCAGGCACCUACUUCUGUGCAGCAGAGGCACAGUGCUUCCAUCAAGCCUGUAGCCUGGCCCCAAAUUGCAGCUGUUCAUGCAGCUACAGCCGUGACAUGGACAGACUCUACAGGAGGCUUUUCACAGUGGAGGCUUUAUCAGAUCCCCACCAUUUGCAAAGAAGGAGUGAGGAAACAGAAAAUUACCACUGCAGAAGUCCACACUUAGACUCCGAACGUGGUGAUACUGACUUGAAGGAUAAAAGCUCAGAAACAUCAGCCUCGUGA
Non-coding RNA from Microtus oregoni (creeping vole), 570 nucleotides. The record is from the annotation of a RefSeq genome assembly. Lineage: Eukaryota; Metazoa; Chordata; Mammalia; Rodentia; Cricetidae.